RNAcentral lists this ribosomal RNA (784 nucleotides) under uncultured cyanobacterium. RNAcentral's name for it is "bacterial SSU rRNA". It matches the Rfam family "Bacterial small subunit ribosomal RNA", at positions 56 to 882 of the family's 1533-position model. Lineage: Bacteria; Bacillati; Cyanobacteriota. The record is from RNAcentral.
UGCAGUCGUACGAGAGUUUUUAACUCUAGUGGCGGACGGGUGAGUAACACGUAAGAAUUUACCUUUAGGAGGGGGACAACAACUGGAAACGGUUGCUAAUACCCCAUAUGCUUUCGAGUGAAAUGGAUUUCCGCCUAAAGAGAAGCUUGCGGCUGAUUAGCUUGUUGGUGAGGUAAUGGCUCACCAAGGCGACGAUCAGUAUCUGGUUUGAGAGGAUGAUCAGACACACUGGAACUGAGACACGGUCCAGACUCCUACGGGAGGCAGCAGUGGGGAAUUUUCCGCAAUGGGCGAAAGCCUGACGGAGCAAUACCGCGUGAGGGAUGACGGCCUAUGGGUUGUAAACCUCUUUUUUCAGGGAGGAAUCAAUGACGUGUACCUGAAGAAUAAGCAUCGGCUAACUCCGUGCCAGCAGCCGCGGUAAGACGGAGGAUGCAAGUGUUAUCCGGAAUCACUGGGCGUAAAGCGUCUGUAGGUGGUCAAAUAAGUCAACUGUUAAAUCUUGAGGCUCAACCUCAAAAUCGCAGUCGAAACUAUUAGACUAGAGUAUAGUAGCGGUAAAGGGAAUUUCCAGUGGAGCGGUGAAAUGCGUAGAGAUUGGAAGGAACACCGAUGGCGAAGGCACUUUACUGGGCUAUUACUAACACUCAGAGACGAAAGCUAGGGUAGCAAACGGGAUUAGAUACCCCGGUAGUCCUAGCCGUAAACAAUGGAUACUAGAUGUUGAACAGAUCGACCUGUGCAGUAUCAAAGCUAACGCGUUAAGUAUCCCGCCUGGGAAGUA